UCUGGGGCCCCGCGCACCUGUGCAGCUCCAACUCGUCACACCUGAGCCGGCCCCGCCCCGCCCCGCCCGCGCCCCUUAAAUCCCGGCCGAUCCACGCCUGCUCCCCUCUCUGCGGUGGAUGCUCAUCCCGGGAUGCGGCGGGACCGUCGCGAGGAGCGCUGCGCGGAGCCCGAGGCGCUGAGGCAUAUCUUGAGUGGGAAGGGAUGCAGAAGGAGCACCGAGCUGAACCCUUAUGUGAACACCUCGUCUGGGGAUUGAACACACAACCUGGGUUCAGCACCCUGCUCCAACCAGCCGAUCUCGGGUCCGUGGCAGUGUCGUGCCUGGGAUGGGAAUGCCAAGCGCCAGCAAGGGAAUUCCUAUGCCAAUGCAGCUCCUUCUUUGAUGCUGAUACUGCUUUAUGCAGCAGCCCCUGGAAUGUCCCAGGACAGAGCUCCGUGGCCAGCACCUGACCGUGGAACAACACAGGGAGGAAUGAGCAAGACAAGCCCUGAGGGUUCCCUUGGUCCGUGGCCGAAGUUCUUCUGGAGAGCGUCAGGGUUGGUCCUGCCUGCAGAGGGGCGUCUCCUGCAGGUGAGUGUUCCCAGCCCAAAAUCAAGGCUGGGGUCUGAGGCCGGGGCUGCUCCUCUGGCCCAGAGCUGCACGGAGCCCUCGGUGACUCCUGCUCGCUGCCGGCGACGUUCCUUGGUGUUUCUGUGGGUCCCAGCCGGCCGGGAGCGCGGGGCGGGAGGAGGCCGGCAGCCCCCGAAAGGCAACCAGCACUUCUUGUCCUUGGGGCGUGCAGGGGAGGAGCCGUGCCUGCAGCGUCCCGCCCGCGGCACGCAGCGUGCCAAACACGCGUCCCAGGGACGGGCGCCGGGCUGCUCGGACAGCGCCGGCACAGGCACGGCUGAAGGGCUGCCCGCAGCUCCUCGGCCAGGGGCUGCUCUGCACGGGCACGGGGAGAUGCUUCACCCCGCACGGAGGCCACCGAGAGCCCCGAGGCGCCCCGAGGAGCAGCUGGCACUGCCUGGGCACGGGCGGCUCGGGCCAUCCGCAGAGGGGCUCAGACGGCGAUUCCCGGUUCCCACCUCCCGGAGCUCCCCCGCGGCUGCCAGGUAUGUCCUGGCCACCCCAAAUCCCCCCCUUCCAGCCUGAGGACAUCAUCCAUCGGCAGCACUAAAGCCGAGGGGAUUUCCCUCACAGAGAUGAAAUCCCCAGCAAUUC
RNA transcript from Hirundo rustica (Barn swallow), 1206 nucleotides. RefSeq lists it as uncharacterized. The transcript has 3 exons. The record is from RefSeq and is a predicted model, not a curated record. Lineage: Eukaryota; Metazoa; Chordata; Aves; Passeriformes; Hirundinidae.